RNAcentral lists this ribosomal RNA (517 nucleotides) under uncultured bacterium. Its description in RNAcentral is "bacterial SSU rRNA". It matches the Rfam family "Bacterial small subunit ribosomal RNA", at positions 992 to 1509 of the family's 1533-position model. The record is from RNAcentral.
AGAAUUUAGCAGAGAUGCUUUAGUGCCUUCGGGAACUCUGAGACAGGUGCUGCAUGGCUGUCGUCAGCUCGUGUUGUGAAAUGUUGGGUUAAGUCCCGCAACGAGCGCAACCCCUAUCCUUUGUUGCCAGCGAUUCGGUCGGGAACUCAAAGGAGACUGCCGGUGAUAAACCGGAGGAAGGUAGGGAUGACGUCAAGUCAUCAUGGCCCUUACGAGUAGGGCUACACACGUGCUACAAUGGCGCAUACAAAGAGAAGCGACCUCGCGAGAGCAAGCGGACCUCAUAAAGUGCGUCGUAGUCCGGAUUGGAGUCUGCAACUCGACUCCAUGAAGUCGGAAUCGCUAGUAAUCGUAGAUCAGAAUGCUACGGUGAAUACGUUCCCGGGCCUUGUACACACCGCCCGUCACACCAUGGGAGUGGGUUGCAAAAGAAGUAGAUAGCUUAACCUUCGGGAGGGCGCUUACCACUUUGUGAUUCAUGACUGGGGUGAAGUCGUAACAAGGUAGGCGUAGCGAG